UGGGGAAUAUUGGACAAUGGGGGGAACCCUGAUCCAGCCAUGCCGCGUGUGUGAAGAAGGCCUUAUGGUUGUAAAGCACUUUAAGCGAGGAGGAGGCUCUUCUAGUUAAUACCUAGGAUGAGUGGACGUUACUCGCAGAAUAAGCACCGGCUAACUCUGUGCCAGCAGCCGCGGUAAUACAGAGGGUGCGAGCGUUAAUCGGAUUUACUGGGCGUAAAGCGUGCGUAGGCGGCUGAUUAAGUCGGAUGUGAAAUCCCUGAGCUUAACUUAGGAAUUGCAUUCGAUACUGGUCAGCUAGAGUAUGGGAGAGGAUGGUAGAAUUCCAGGUGUAGCGGUGAAAUGCGUAGAGAUCUGGAGGAAUACCGAUGGCGAAGGCAGCCAUCUGGCCUAAUACUGACGCUGAGGUACGAAAGCAUGGGGAGCAAACAGG
Molecule: ribosomal RNA, 430 nt
Filed under: Pseudomonadota bacterium
Lineage: Bacteria; Pseudomonadati; Pseudomonadota
Description: Proteobacteria bacterium partial 16S ribosomal RNA
Rfam family: Bacterial small subunit ribosomal RNA
Source: RNAcentral